Molecule: ribosomal RNA, 252 nt
Filed under: uncultured bacterium
Lineage: Bacteria
Description: partial 16S ribosomal RNA
Rfam family: Bacterial small subunit ribosomal RNA
Source: RNAcentral
UACGUAGGUGGCGAGCGUUGUCCGGAAUUAUUGGGCGUAAAGAGCAUGUAGGCGGUCUUUUAAGUCUGGAGUGAAAAUGCGGGGCUCAACCCCGUAUGGCUUUGGAUACUGGGAGACUUGAGUGCAGGAGAGGAAAGGGGAAUUCCCAGUGUAGCGGUGAAAUGCGUAGAUAUUGGGAGGAACACCAGUGGCGAAGGCGCCUUUCUGGACUGUGUCUGACGCUGAGAUGCGAAAGCCAGGGUAGCGAACGGG